Molecule: small nuclear RNA, 42 nt
Filed under: Trypanosoma cruzi
Lineage: Eukaryota; Euglenozoa; Kinetoplastea; Trypanosomatida; Trypanosomatidae
Description: partial U2 sn RNA
Source: RNAcentral
NNAUCUUCUCGGCUAUUUAGCUAAGAUCAAGUUUUUAAACUG